Molecule: ribosomal RNA, 468 nt
Filed under: Papilio machaon (common yellow swallowtail)
Lineage: Eukaryota; Metazoa; Arthropoda; Insecta; Lepidoptera; Papilionidae
Description: partial large subunit ribosomal RNA
Source: RNAcentral
UUUUUGGAAAUAAUUUAAAGUCUAAUCUGCCCACUGAUAAAUAUAUUAAAGGGCUGCAGUAUUUUGACUGUACAAAGGUAGCAUAAUCAUUAGUCUCUUAAUUGGUGACUUGUAUGAAAGAUUGGAUGAAAUAUAAACUGUCUCUAAUUAAUUUAUAAAAUUUAAUUUUUUAGUAAAAAAGCUAAAAUAAUUUUAAAAGACGAGAAGACCCUAUAGAGUUUUAUAAUUUAUUUGAUUAUUAUUAAUAUGUAAAUUUUAAAAUUAAAAUUAAAUAAAUUAUUUUGUUGGGGUGACAGAAAAAUUAAAUUAACUUUUUUAAAUAAUUAACAUUAAUUUAUGAAUAAAUGAUCCAUUAAUAUUGAUUAAAAGAAAAAAUUACCUUAGGGAUAACAGCGUAAUUUUUUUUUUUAGUUCAAAUAGGAAAAAAAGUUUGCGACCUCGAUGUUGGAUUAAGAUAAAAUUUAAAUG